GACGAGGUGGCCGAGUGGUUAAGGCGAUGGACUGCUAAUCCAUUGUGCUCUGCACAUGUGGGUUUGAAUCCCAUCCUCAUCG
This 82-nucleotide transfer RNA is filed under the name Danio rerio (zebrafish). Its description in RNAcentral is "tRNA-Ser (GCT) (tRNA-Ser-GCT-189-1)". It matches the Rfam family "tRNA". From Rfam's summary of the family: Transfer RNA (tRNA) molecules are approximately 80 nucleotides in length. Lineage: Eukaryota; Metazoa; Chordata; Actinopteri; Cypriniformes; Danionidae. The record is from Rfam by way of RNAcentral.